CAGUCGCCGCGGGAAUACGGAGGGUGCAAGCGUUAAUCGAAAUUACUGGGCGUAAAGCGCACGCAGGCGGUCUGACAAGUCAGAUGUGAAAUCCCCGGGCUUAACCUGGGAACUGCAUUUGAAACUGUCAGGCUGGAGUCUUGUAGAGGGGGGUGGAAUUCCAGGUGUAGCGGUGAAAUGCGUAGAGAUCUGGAGGAAUACCGGUGGCGAAGGCGGCCCCCUGGACAAAGACUGACGCUCAGGUGCGAAAGCGUGGGGAGCAAACAGGAUUAGAGACCCCUGUAGUCCCUGUCUCUUAUAC
This 301-nucleotide ribosomal RNA is filed under the name uncultured bacterium. RNAcentral describes it as "partial 16S ribosomal RNA". It matches the Rfam family "Bacterial small subunit ribosomal RNA", at positions 509 to 807 of the family's 1533-position model. The record is from RNAcentral.